RNAcentral lists this unclassified non-coding RNA (3392 nucleotides) under Leishmania donovani. Its description in RNAcentral is "gene:unknown". The record is from RNAcentral. Lineage: Eukaryota; Euglenozoa; Kinetoplastea; Trypanosomatida; Trypanosomatidae.
CGCACAGAAAACUGUCGCCGAAGUGCGUGUGUCGGCGCAGUGUGAGCCACCGUGUGGCAUACGAUACGUUCGCUCCACGCCAUCCCCCGUUCCUUUCUCUCUCUCCCGUUGGCGCCGUCCUCCUUCUGCUCUGUGCUCGCCAAAGUCAAUCGCCUUCCUCUCUGUCUUCCAGUCUGUCCGCAUUCUGUUUGCUUUUUAACUUUUUCUGGGUGUGGGAAGAGCUCGUCGGCCAUGGAAGCGUAGCGACUCAAAGGUGACAGAGAACAAGGAAGUGAUAGCAAGUUUCCGACGCGAGCGCCGAGGCACCGACAGGCGCACGAGUGACAGCAAACGCCGACCAAUCAGACGCACUCAGACGCACGCGCACGGUACUACGGGGGCAGUACAGCCAUGUGGCGGUACGCCGCCGAAUGCUCUCGAGGUAAGUCUUCACGUGGGCUCGGGGAGGGUGUGCGGAUGAGAGCAGUGAGGGGGAGGGUGCAGAUUCCGCGAGCUCUUGCCCCUCUCCUGCCUGCCUCGCUCUCCACUGGAAUUGCACACCACCAAACGAUAACAACUCCAGAUGGCGAGGCAACCACACAGACAGACAUAGACAGAGACGUUAACAUGCUGAAAAGCAAUACGCACAAAUUCGAUCUAUUUUUUUUCCGUUCUCCGUAUGCAAGUCAAGUUCCAAACAAAAAAAGAAACGGAGAAGUCAGUACGAACAUAUAGGAAAGACAGCACAGCACAGACACAUGAUACGUGCCAGCACUCUAUCACACAUCACCCCUCGCACACACACACUCACUUGCGGGGGUUCUGGGCUUUGUUUUUUUUUUUCGUUGCUUUACGUUUUUUUUCUACUUCUUUUUGCAUUUUCCAAAACAGGUGAAGAGAGAGAGAAAGCGAGAUGGAAUUUUGGCAUACAGAUUUGUGUUUGCGUAUCAGAUAGUGUUGUUGCGGCGCUUUUGCCUUUUCUCCUUUGCGGGCAAACUGCACUGCAGCGUCCCCAUCCUUUCCUGAGCACCCCCGUGCCCCCCCUCCACUUACUCCGCGUGCGAGCCUUUUCUCUCCAUUCAGUGUUUCAUCUCUCUCUAUCAUACCCCCCUCCCUCCCUCCUCCUCUGAGAAUAAAGAGAAAAGAUGUGUGGUGCUUUCGUUUUUCUUCUUCGUCCUGCUCCUCUCUUUGUGGCGCGAGCCGUGACGCUCGCCUCUGCCGAUGUACGGUGUCAAAAAGACAACCACGCAGGCGCAGAGGGAGAGAACGGGCGAACGCGUAGCGCGGGGGAGAAAGUGAUGACGAUAUGACCUAGAGUCCAGUAAGUGUGCAGCUUCACCAUAAAGCGUCUUGCUGUUACCUCGAUGCUUGUUGACUGCCAAAGACAAAAAAACGUCGGUUGUGCUUGCCGUAGGUUUGCGUGAGGCUUUCGUCGCCGUCGUCUCUCCUUCUCCUUCUAUCGAUUGACUUUUACUUUUUUCUCUCGUUUCGGAGAUGGCGGGAGACGGCGGAGCGGCGGCGGCAUCGGCGGAUAUGAUGCUGCACGGCAGCCACCGGUGGUUGUCUCUCCCUUCUCUGUUUCUUUGUUUCCUUGGUGUGAUUCACCACCAUCACCAUGAGCACAACACCCCUGUUCUCCAACGAUCCCCACAUAACGGGGCUCUGUGGGUGGGGGAGGGGGUUGUCUGUAUGCCUCCCUUCUCUUCUUUGUUUUUCGGCUUAGGAGCGUGUAUACCUCUGAGUGGGUGCGUGCGUGUGAUUUCAUGGGCGCGCGUCCAUCUCUUUCUCUUGGUGCCGCCGACUAUUUCGUCUCUACUACCCCCUCCCUCCCUCCCCGCCCCGUACCUCUUUGUUUUUUGUGUUUUUUUUUGGUUUCUUUGGAUGUCUCCCCCUUCUCCCACCACCCUCCUUUUUUUGUAUUCUGGCGUCUUUAAUGUCGUUGUUUGCACAGUUGCUCGCUGCAUCCGUCGGCCUGCCUGUCGUCUUCACUUGUUUCCCUUUUUUGUUGUCGUUGCUUUUUUUUUGUUCCUUCGCUUCCGUUCUUCUUUCCCCACCCCUUUUUUUUGUCGUUAGCCCAGGACAGCGUCAUGCGCGGUCGCGUCGGAUGUGUCGUAGUUCGCCGUGGCUCGCACACACGUCGCGUAACAAAACGAAAAGGGAGACAAACAAAAAGCAUACAUGCACACACACAAAACCACCAAAAGACAUACGAGGAGAGAGAGAAAAGAAAAAGACGAUGAAAAGGAAACGGAAAAACCUGUAAGAGGCGAAGGCCCCUGUGCUUGUACUGCAUACUGCCAUUCCCCUCUCUGUAUCCUCUCUUAGCACGCGGGAGUGGGCAUCGCCACGUUGUCGCCUCGCUUUCGUUUCUCUUUUAUUUUUGACAGAAAAGUAGAGGAAGGAAUGCGUGAGAAUGAUUUUGUGCAUUCACGCACAUCAUCCAUGCGUGCAACACUCGGACACGCACAAGACAAAAGCACAUCGCUCACACGCGCGCACAUCCCAGCAUGUCGUUUUCUGUAUUGGUCUCUCAUGAGCAAACGCGAAAAUGAGUAAAAAGGGAAAACAAAAGAGUCGGGGGGAGGGGGAUCGGUUUGCUCACAGCAGCGGCGCUCCGCGGCCUACGAAGCCGCUACGUCGCAUGGAAUGGUCCACCGCUGUCACAGACGAGUUCGUGGGCGAGAGAACAAGCAAACGUGGCUUAGGACAGUCUCGGUGGCUUCGCGAGGGACCGGUGAGCAUACAACUCACCUGCCCUUUCUCUUUCGCCAACGUUUUUUUGUUUGCUGUUUGUUUUUUUUUCUUGUAGCUGGCUCGCUGUCUCUUCUCCAACAUACACAUGCGCCUUCCCUUCUUAUACGUAUAUAUUGCCUUUUUUGUCUUCUCUUCCGCACUCCCACUCCUAGACACUGACCGCCUGUUGCCGCGGCACUUUGGUGCGAUGCCAUCACAUGCUGGCCAGCUGUAUCACACCACAUAAUGACUAUGAAAAGAGCCGGCGUGGGUAUUUUGUGCAUAUGGUUUCGCAUAUUAUGGUGAAGGUGUGUCUUGGACAGUAAACGCCGACGGGCAACUCUCUCUCGCGCGCGCGCGCUCCUCCUUCUCCGCACCUCCUCCUCCUCUCUUCCUCUCUACGCCAGCAGGUCAGUGCACCAGUCCCUGCGGAGAUUUUAUUUUUCGUUUGCAUGUUCAUUUUAUUGCUUUCUUUUAUUGAUCUUUGUACGCUUUUCUCGAUGCAUAACAGUGCGCCGAUAUCGAGGACAUGAUCGAGUUUGUUCCUCUUGCCCAGCGGAAAGAUAGUGCUUGAUUCUACCUGUCAUCUUCGCUAAAGGGCUCCAGCCACCUUUUGGUUCCUUCUCUCUCUCUCGUUGCUUUCACUGUGCGUGUCUUCCAGAGUGAAUCUUCUCCACAAG